UACGUAGGGCGCAAGCGUUAUCCGGAAUUACUGGGCGUAAAGAGCUCGUAGGCGGUUUGUCACGUCUGCUGUGAAAUCCCGAGGCUCAACCUCGGGCCUGCAGUGGGUACGGGCAGACUGGAGUGCGGUAGGGGAGAAUGGAAUUCCUGGUGUAGCGGUGGAAUGCGCAGAUAUCAGGAGGAACACCGAUGGCGAAGGCAGUUCUCUGGGCCGUAACUGACGCUGAGGAGCGAAAGCGUGGGGAGCGAACAGG
RNAcentral lists this ribosomal RNA (253 nucleotides) under uncultured bacterium. RNAcentral's name for it is "partial 16S ribosomal RNA". It matches the Rfam family "Bacterial small subunit ribosomal RNA", at positions 524 to 776 of the family's 1533-position model. The record is from RNAcentral.